RNAcentral lists this small nucleolar RNA (87 nucleotides) under Ochotona princeps (American pika). RNAcentral's name for it is "Small nucleolar RNA SNORA74 (ENSOPRG00000023964.1)". The record is from RNAcentral. Lineage: Eukaryota; Metazoa; Chordata; Mammalia; Lagomorpha; Ochotonidae.
CCCAGCUGUAGGCAACUACCCAGGAUGCAUUGUACCUAGCAAGUGUUACACUACUGGGAGAAAAAUAGCCAAUAGCUGGUGGACAUU